This 164-nucleotide ribosomal RNA is filed under the name Polystachya concreta. RNAcentral describes it as "5.8S ribosomal RNA". It matches the Rfam family "5.8S ribosomal RNA". Rfam says of the family: 5.8S ribosomal RNA (5.8S rRNA) is a component of the large subunit of the eukaryotic ribosome. It is transcribed by RNA polymerase I as part of the 45S precursor that also contains 18S and 28S rRNA. RNAcentral also lists the same sequence under 7 other names. Lineage: Eukaryota; Viridiplantae; Streptophyta; Magnoliopsida; Asparagales; Orchidaceae. The record is from RNAcentral.
GACACGACUCUCGGCAAUGGAUAUCUCGGCUCUCGCAUCGAUGAAGAGCGCAGCGAAAUGCGAUACGUGGUGCGAAUUGCAGAAUCCCGCGAACCAUCGAGUCUUUGAACGCAAGUUGCGCCCGAGGCCAUCCGGCCGAGGGCACGUCCGCCUGGGCGUCAAGC